Molecule: small nuclear RNA, 107 nt
Organism: Rattus norvegicus (Norway rat)
Lineage: Eukaryota; Metazoa; Chordata; Mammalia; Rodentia; Muridae
Product: U2 spliceosomal RNA
Source: Ensembl
ACUGCUUCUUGGCCUUGUAGCUAAAAUCAAAUGUGGUAUCUGUUUUUAUCAGUUUAAUCUUUGAUACACCUAUAUACAUAUAUCUUAAUUCAUAAAUAUCAACCAUA